Cajanus cajan (pigeon pea) is the source of this 536-nucleotide non-coding RNA. Lineage: Eukaryota; Viridiplantae; Streptophyta; Magnoliopsida; Fabales; Fabaceae. The record is from RefSeq and is a predicted model, not a curated record.
AUGUAUCAAGGUCGGAUAUUUUUCUUCGAGGCAAGUUGUUAUAAUAGAGCCAGAAAACGAUGGAUGCAUCAAAGGAAAAUAAUGACAGUACUGAGAACUUAUAGGGAAUCUCUCUUUUUGUGAAUGACAUGGGAAAGCUAUUGAUGAUCCUCUCUUGCUUCUCAAAAGAAGGUCACAAGACUCACAACUCACAAGAGGCCAAGUUUUGGCAUUUUCUUAUUGUUUGACGCCUUCACUUUUGGUAGUCUAUUAAUCAUAAUGCAACUGGAUUCACGGUCACUUCUGAAUCUUUUCGUUCCUAUCUGGACCACUACAUAAAGAAAAAGAAAGAGUCAUACCUGCAGCUUUUAGAAAUCCCAUGAUUAGAACAGAAGGGUAAAUCAUUAGCUUAUUUGAAUUUGAUUUGGACAUUGAAACUAAACGGUAAGCAACAUUUUCACUUUUUACCUCUUUUCAGUUCUUUCUUUGCUUGUUUGUACUCUCCUUUCCUUUGCAAGAACAUAAAACCCCUUCUUAAGGGAACUGUUGCGUUUCAA